CUGACUACUGAGGAAUCCUCGGGCUUCAAAGAUUUGCCUGUAGUGCUCUGCAAGGUGCCGCAGACAUGACUGAUUUUCAAUACCAAGAAUGGAAGAAUGAAGGAUGUUCACAUCAAUCAAAAAGGCUUUUAGACCAGCUGCCAAAGGCCAAUGUUGUUCUCUUGUGAUACCUUUUUGGAGUGUUACAUAACAUUGAGCAGCAUUCCUCAGACAAUCAGAUGACAGCUUAUAAUUUAUCUGCGUGUAUAGCCUCAAGCAUUAUUUUCCUGCCUACUCCCUGCAGCUCAGAAGUGGUAAAUGAGUUCACCAAAAAGGUUUCUAUUGUACAAUUUCUCAUUGAAAACUGCCUCACCAUAUUUGGAGAAGACAUCACUUCCCUCUUGGAGAAGAGCUCAAUGACUUGUGACAACAGUGAUGCUUCAGGUACCUUGAAAAAUUCAGUUGGUUUUGAUGAGAAACAGUGAGUGGGGAUGCCAGGAGUCAUGAGAGAUGCUUAGGCAGUGGCUGUCCUGGAGUCCAGGGCAAGCCCCAAGCACAAUGAUGCAGGACCCAGGACUCCAUCUGCUCAUUCUUCAUAAGGUUGGCUCACAGGUCAUCUGCUGAGAAGGUCACCUGCUCCUCCUUCACUGUGCUCACUGAAUGAGGACAUUCCAAGAUCCCAGCUCCUCCCAUUUGAACUUUCCUUUUCCUAAUCCCAUGCAUCUGUGUUUGAGAAAAUAUUCCCACAUGAUUAUCUAUCUUCCCAUUUCUUCCAUGUUGUAUUACUUUAUUAUUAAUAAUAAAUGCACAUAUUGUGUA
This is a long non-coding RNA of Gorilla gorilla gorilla (western lowland gorilla), 798 nucleotides long. RefSeq lists it as uncharacterized. Lineage: Eukaryota; Metazoa; Chordata; Mammalia; Primates; Hominidae. The transcript is spliced from 3 exons. The record is from RefSeq and is a predicted model, not a curated record.